Molecule: ribosomal RNA, 377 nt
Filed under: uncultured bacterium
Lineage: Bacteria
Description: bacterial SSU rRNA
Rfam family: Bacterial small subunit ribosomal RNA
Source: RNAcentral
AUACGUAGGUGGCGAGCGUUAUCCGGAAUUACUGGGUGUAAAGGGCGCGCAGGCGGGGAUGCAAGUCAGAUGUGAAAUACCGGUGCUUAACACCGGGGCUGCAUCUGAAACUGUGUUUCUUGAGUGUCGGAGAGGAAAGUGGAAUUCCCAGUGUAGCGGUGAAAUGCGUAGAGAUUGGGAGGAACACCAGUGGCGAAGGCGGCUUUCUGGACGACAACUGACGCUGAGGCGCGAAAGCGUGGGGAGCAAACAGGAUUAGAUACCCUGGUAGUCCACGCCGUAAACGAUGGAUACUAGGUGUAGGAGGUAUCGACCCCUUCUGUGCCGGAGUUAACACAAUAAGUAUCCCACCUGGGGAGUACGGCCGCAAGGCUGAA